This 331-nucleotide unclassified non-coding RNA is filed under the name soil metagenome. RNAcentral describes it as "partial contains 5.8S ribosomal RNA, internal transcribed spacer 2, and large subunit ribosomal RNA". The stretch from base 1 to 120 matches the Rfam family "5.8S ribosomal RNA", at positions 35 to 154 of the family's 154-position model. The record is from RNAcentral.
GAUGAAGGACGCAGCGAAAUGCGAUAAGUAAUGUGAAUUGCAGAAUUCAGUGAAUCAUCGAAUCUUUGAACGCACAUUGCGCCCCCUGGUAUUCCGGGGGGCAUGCCUGUUCGAGCGUCAUUUCACCACUCAAGCCUCGCUUGGUAUUGGGCAACGCGGUCCGCCGCGUGCCUCAAAUCGACCGGCUGGGUCUUCUGUCCCCUAAGCGUUGUGGAAACUAUUCGCUAAAGGGUGUUCGGGAGGCUACGCCGUAAAACAACCCCAUUUCUAAGGUUGACCUCGGAUCAGGUAGGGAUACCCGCUGAACUUAAGCAUAUCAAUAAGCGGAGGA